RNAcentral lists this transfer RNA (75 nucleotides) under Patescibacteria group bacterium. RNAcentral's name for it is "tRNA-Arg". It matches the Rfam family "tRNA". Rfam says of the family: Transfer RNA (tRNA) molecules are approximately 80 nucleotides in length. The record is from RNAcentral.
GCCCCCGUAGCUCAACGGAUAGAGCAGUCCCGUCCUAAGGGAAAGAUAUGGGUCCGACUCCUGUCGGGGGUACCA